RNAcentral lists this ribosomal RNA (497 nucleotides) under uncultured bacterium. RNAcentral's name for it is "partial 16S ribosomal RNA". It matches the Rfam family "Bacterial small subunit ribosomal RNA", at positions 28 to 507 of the family's 1533-position model. The record is from RNAcentral.
GAUGAACGCUGGCGGCGUGCCUAAUACAUGCAAGUCGAGCGAACGGACGAGAAGCUUGCUUCUCUGAUGUUAGCGGCGGACGGGUGAGUAACACGUGGAUAACCUACCUAUAAGACUGGGAUAACUUCGGGAAACCGGAGCUAAUACCGGAUAAUAUUUUGAACCGCAUGGUUCAAAAGUGAAAGACGGUCUUGCUGUCACUUAUAGAUGGAUCCGCGCUGCAUUAGCUAGUUGGUAAGGUAACGGCUUACCAUGGCAACGAUGCAUAGCCGACCUGAGAGGGUGAUCGGCCACACUGGAACUGAGACGCGGUCCAGACUCCUACGGGAGGCAGCAGUAGGGAAUCUUCCGCAAUGGGCGAAAGCCUGACGGAGCAACGCCGCGUGAGUGAUGAAGGUCUUCGGAUCGUAAAACUCUGUUAUUAGGGAAGAACAUAUGUGUAAGUAACUGUGCACAUCUUGACGGUAGCUAAUCAGAAAGCCACGGCUAACUACGUG